GCAGACCCAGCUGUGGCCCGGAUGGCCUCGUGCUACCGGUGGGAACGAGAGGAUCAUCUCAAUGAAGGUACUGUAAAUAAUAAAUGGUUCAGUGUAAGAAGGGACUAAAAUUUCAUCAACCGGGAAUAUCACCAAGGAAGAUGCAUUUGUACACCAGACUGCCAUAAAGAAUAAAAAUGCAAGAAGUACCUUCACAGUAAAGAAGAUAGGGAGACUGUGAGAUUUAAUGUUGUCUAAGCAAAAAGGGAACGAAGACAGCUUCUGCACCAAGCCCUGUUGAAAUUCAAUUCAAGGCAGUAAAUAUGCAACAAAUGUUUAAUCAUUAAUGAAGAUGGUAUCCACUUCUAAUGGGGUCCUCUGUGAAGUUACCGACAGAAUGACUAGACUAGAAGAAAUGAUGGAAGAUACAAUCAGGAUGCAGGGAAACAAGGUUGACCCGUGA
Molecule: long non-coding RNA, 442 nt
Filed under: Sarcophilus harrisii (Tasmanian devil)
Lineage: Eukaryota; Metazoa; Chordata; Mammalia; Dasyuromorphia; Dasyuridae
Description: lncRNA (ENSSHAG00000021839.1)
Source: RNAcentral